AUUGAACGCUGGCGGCAGGCCUAACACAUGCAAGUCGAGCGGUAGAGAGAAGCUUGCUUCUCUUGAGAGCGGCGGACGGGUGAGUAAUGCCUAGGAAUCUGCCUGGUAGUGGGGGAUAACGUUCGGAAACGAACGCUAAUACCGCAUACGUCCUACGGGAGAAAGCAGGGGACCUUCGGGCCUUGCGCUAUCAGAUGAGCCUAGGUCGGAUUAGCUAGUUGGUGAGGUAAUGGCUCACCAAGGCGACGAUCCGUAACUGGUCUGAGAGGAUGAUCAGUCACACUGGAACUGAGACACGGUCCAGACUCCUACGGGAGGCAGCAGUGGGGAAUAUUGGACAAUGGGCGAAAGCCUGAUCCAGCCAUGCCGCGUGUGUGAAGAAGGUCUUCGGAUUGUAAAGCACUUUAAGUUGGGAGGAAGAGCAUUAACCUAAUACGUUAGUGUUUUGACGUUACCGACAGAAUAAGCACCGGCUAACUCUGUG
Molecule: ribosomal RNA, 484 nt
Filed under: uncultured bacterium
Lineage: Bacteria
Description: partial 16S ribosomal RNA
Rfam family: Bacterial small subunit ribosomal RNA
Source: RNAcentral